UUCAAACUAUUGCUGUAUGUCGGUAUAAAAGUUCCGUAGGCGGCGCUCACCUGGUCAGUCUUGCGAUGGAAGCACGGACUGUGCUUGGAAGGGGCACCAGUUGCAAACUAUAUGAAAAUAAGACGGGAUG
Molecule: long non-coding RNA, 130 nt
Organism: Bufo bufo (common toad)
Lineage: Eukaryota; Metazoa; Chordata; Amphibia; Anura; Bufonidae
Exons: 3
Source: RefSeq, a predicted model, not a curated record